GAAAAAGCAAAUAAAAAAUUUCGACCACUGUGCGGGCUCGAACCCCGGUCUUCUGAUUGGAAGGGACUUCGUGGAAAAUCCCACUGAGCCAUUCGUACAUUUUUCUGGAAAA
This is a non-coding RNA of Caenorhabditis elegans, 112 nucleotides long. The record is from Ensembl. Lineage: Eukaryota; Metazoa; Nematoda; Chromadorea; Rhabditida; Rhabditidae.